Molecule: long non-coding RNA, 235 nt
Filed under: Microcebus murinus (gray mouse lemur)
Lineage: Eukaryota; Metazoa; Chordata; Mammalia; Primates; Cheirogaleidae
Description: lncRNA (ENSMICG00000048584.1)
Source: RNAcentral
CUGGGGGCCGCCGGGAAGCCCGUCCCGCGCCUGCGGCUGUGGCGAGGCCGGCGAGGCGCCUGGCAUUUGAAAUGGCCCAGCUCUGAGCCUGAAGAGUCUGCUGCUGUGACUUCAUCCUUCUGCUGGGAGAUGCUGUAACAAGGUGGCCUUAAGGGAUAAACUUACAUCUCUGCCAAAUAACCCAGUUCCUCUUCGUUCCUGCCUUCUAUCAAGUUAUCUUUGAAGCAUCAGUGCC